Lolium rigidum is the source of this 277-nucleotide long non-coding RNA. RefSeq lists it as uncharacterized. The record is from RefSeq and is a predicted model, not a curated record. The transcript has 3 exons. Lineage: Eukaryota; Viridiplantae; Streptophyta; Magnoliopsida; Poales; Poaceae.
UGUUUUUAAUUGCCUUUGGCUACGACAAACCCUCUAUGACCAUUGGUCUUUUGUCCAGCCACUUAUAUCUGCCUAUGGGGCGGUGGUUCUUGGAUCUCUAGAUGCUCCCGCUGCUAAUGCAUAUGUGAAUACUGAUAUUAGCCCUGAGAAUGCUAUGAUCCAGUGACAGGAGAUCAAAGUAAAGGUCUUGAUUAUUUGGUCGAAGCAAGCUGCAGAUGUUGAGUGAACGUGCUACUUUCGCUGUUGUAUGUAAAAGUCAGGCAAGUUAAUGGUCAGA